Molecule: long non-coding RNA, 1186 nt
Filed under: Bactrocera tryoni
Lineage: Eukaryota; Metazoa; Arthropoda; Insecta; Diptera; Tephritidae
Description: uncharacterized LOC120781760, transcript variant X2
Source: RNAcentral
UGGGGAGCAAAACCCAGAACAUAUUUGCUUUCUUGAGGUAUUAGCAUUGAUUUUCAUGAUACAAUUUUCUCGAUAGGUUUUUUGAAAGUUUGAUGUUGACUCUUUAUUAUACUAGUAUUGAAUGGACUAUAAAACUGCAUACCCAAAAAUAUUAUAAAUGCUCUUAUUAAAGUCUUUGAAAUUUGUACGAAAAUUUUGUAAGUUGUCAUAAAUUUUGUAUACAGUUUUAAACUGUAAUUCAUAUGAUAUUUUUAAGAAGAUGAACUACAUUUUUAUAAAAAUCUAUCCAGAAAAUUGUAUCGUGAAAAAAAAUGCUAAUGUCUCAAAAAGGCAAACAUGCGUUCCUUUCUGCUCCCCAGUGUGCAUUUGAACAUUCACACAAACAUAUGUACUACAUAAUAACUAACUCGCUUUACUACUGAGCUCCGUUGUAAUUUUAAGAGUGCCAAAUUAAGUAGCAAGACACCAAGAAAUCACGUUUUAAUUCAUAAAGAAGGGUGUGAGUUUAACUAGCAAAAGGAAAACAUGAAUUGUGAACUAUUGUACUUGUCUAAAUGUCUGUUCAUGUUUUCGAAACCGAUUUUUCUGCAGACGACAGUAUUGAAGAUCUGGACUUUAAUACUACUGGAAGUAAACGAAAGAGUUCAUUAAGUGCGAAAUCAGGACCGGCCCUAAAAAAAAGUCCAUGUGAAUUCACAAAAAAUUAUUUUCAAAGAAGAAUUUUACACAGAAGUGGAAAAAAUUUCCGACAAGACAACUUGUGCUAAGUGCGUUGCAUGUCAUCGAGUGAUUAGAGGAAGCGGUGAAGUGACUUCAAAUUUCAUCAAACAUUUGCAAGUCAAGCAUAGUGAAUGUUUUAAAACAUACAAAAGUUAUAAAACAGGUAGCCCUUUUGGCGGUAACAUGCAAUCUGAGUUCGAUGGUAAACUGUUACAUGCAAUGAUUGAUUGUUCAUUGCCCCUUUCCAUUCUGGAAAAAAAAUCCUUUAUAGAUCUUUUUCAAAGUACAGGUAUGAAGGUGAUGUGUCAGAAUGUUUUCAAUGCAAAUUUUUCAAAACGAAAUGUAAAUAUAAAAUGAUGAGCUUUCAAAUUUUUUUAAAAAUAAUCGAAAAUAAUCAAAAAUAAUCCUUGAAAGUAGCCAAUUACUUUUUUGAUUACUUUUGAUUAUUUUUGAUUGUUUUCUCGUA